ACGAACGCUGGCGGCAUGCCUAACACAUGCAAGUCGAACGAGACCUUCGGGUCUAGUGGCGCACGGGUGCGUCACGCGUGGGAACCUGCCCUUAGGUUCGGAAUAACUCCCCGAAAGGGGUGCUAAUACCGGAUAAUGUCUUCGGACCAAAGAUUUAUCGCCUUUGGAUGGGCCCGCGUUGGAUUAGCUAGUUGGUAGGGUAAAAGCCUACCAAGGCGACGAUCCAUAGCUGGUCUGAGAGGAUGAUCAGCCACGCUGGGACUGAGACACGGCCCAGACUCCUACGGGAGGCAGCAGUGGGGAAUAUUGGACAAUGGGCGAAAGCCUGAUCCAGCAAUGCCGCGUGAGUGAUGAAGGCCUUAGGGUUGUAAAGCUCUUUUACCCGGGAUGAUAAUGACAGUACCGGGAGAAUAAGCUCCGGCUAACUCCGUG
This 432-nucleotide ribosomal RNA is filed under the name uncultured bacterium. RNAcentral's name for it is "partial 16S ribosomal RNA". It matches the Rfam family "Bacterial small subunit ribosomal RNA", at positions 29 to 507 of the family's 1533-position model. The record is from RNAcentral.